This 467-nucleotide ribosomal RNA is filed under the name uncultured bacterium. RNAcentral's name for it is "partial 16S ribosomal RNA". It matches the Rfam family "Bacterial small subunit ribosomal RNA", at positions 28 to 507 of the family's 1533-position model. The record is from RNAcentral.
GACGAACGCUGGCGGCGUGCUUAACACAUGCAAGUCGAACGGAAAGGCUCCAGCUUGCUGGCGUACUCGAGUGGCGAACGGGUGAGUAACACGUGGGUAAUCUGCCCUGCACUCUGGGAUAAGCCUGGGAAACUGGGUCUAAUACUGGAUAUGACCUUUCUCCUUAUGGGGUGUGGUGGAAAGUUUUUCGGUGUAGGAUGGGCCCGCGGCCUAUCAGCUUGUUGGUGGGGUGAUGGCCUACCAAGGCGACGACGGGUAGCCGGCCUGAGAGGGUGAUCGGCCACAUUGGGACUGAGAUACGGCCCAGACUCCUACGGGAGGCAGCAGUGGGGAAUAUUGCACAAUGGGCGGAAGCCUGAUGCAGCGACGCCGCGUGAGGGAUGACGGCCUUCGGGUUGUAAACCUCUUUCAGCAGGGACGAAGCGUAAGUGACGGUACCUGCAGAAGAAGCACCGGCUAACUAGGUG